GGGGAAACUACUCAAGGACUAUGGUGAUGAAGAGUUAUUUAGGGGACCUGAUACACCCACAGGGCUGGUACAAAUGGGAUAACUACAGCACUUUAGAUACAGUGGAGUAUAUUGAGCACUUGAACUAUGGACCAGGCUCCAACACAAGGCAUAGAGUUACUUGGGGAGGCUAUAACAAGAACUGCAGUGAAGACAUAGCCAGGCAGUUCACAGUGGGCAAAUUCUUACACGAAGCAGAUCAUUGGUUAGAGUCCACAGGAUUUCCACUCUUUACUGGUUCAUAAUGAAUGUCAGAUUUAGCGAGACAGAAAUGCUA
Molecule: unclassified non-coding RNA, 316 nt
Filed under: Hevea brasiliensis (rubber tree)
Lineage: Eukaryota; Viridiplantae; Streptophyta; Magnoliopsida; Malpighiales; Euphorbiaceae
Source: RNAcentral